UCCCAUAACAUUUAGCACAUAAUAUAUAUAACACCUACGGGGUAAAUUCCCUCUCACAAGGUUAGAUAAGAGACUUACCUCGUUCCGAAAUCUGAUAACCCGCUCCAACGCCUCUCUAACUUCUCAACUCGAUGCCAAACAAUCUGAAACUAAUCAAACAACAUGCAAACCAAUCAAAAUAUACUUCAAUACUCAUAAUUUAAUAAUUUAUAAUAAUUCCCAACUUCGCUCGAAAAGGCAACAUAGUCAACCACCAAGCCCAUGUGUCGAAUUCCUAAAAUUAUCGAAAAUAAUUAUUACCCAUAACUUAUAUAGUCUAUAUCCAUAAAAUCAUCUAAUUUCGUCCAUGAAUUGACUAUCAAAUCAAGAAUUUAUCAUUUCUCAACUUUGGGUCUCAAAAUCCCAAUUUCUACAAUCCAAAUACGGAUAAAAAAAUAACCAAUGGAAAUAAUAAUGUAAAGACAUCAAAAUAAAUGUUAGAUGUUUACCCUCUUUUUGAGACGAGAACAACGCAGCAAAAAUCACCUCACACGGAGCUCUAAAACUCAAGAUAUGCUCAAAAAUACUAAAAUGAUCGGUCUACCCAUUUAAAAUACUGCACAUGUGAUUUUUGUUCUUCACCUUCGCGAAAAGAAAUUUUUUGCAUUGACCGAUCAACCUAAAAUUUUUUGCAUUGACCGAUCAACCCAAAAUUACUUUGCGAAGAACAAAAGUUCGCACCAGAAACCAACAAUCUUUUCCGAUACGAAAAUGGGCAUAACUCUCUCAUACGACCUCGUAAUUCGACGAUUCUUAUUGCUAUAGUUCUGUAAUUAUGAUACGGAUCUAAUGGUUCAAUAUAAUUAUAAAUUAAAGGUCAUUUGCUCAAUAUAGUACCCUUUAUGGCCAAAGAAACGACGUCAAAACAUCAAAUAAUAGUGCGAUUGUGAUGACCCGAUAGGUCAUUUUGAUAUUUAGCCUCUAUUUACGUAUUCCGAGACCCUGAUUAGCUUCGUUUGGCAUGUAUCAAUUUGCAUGUACAGUCCGUGUCCCAUCCUGGAUAGCCUUUAUGUGAAAACUUUAAGAAAAUGUAAAAUUUUGUCUUUAAAAUGGCUUGAGUUAACUACGGUCAACAUUUUAUGUAAAUGGAUACGGAUUAGUAUUUUGACGGUCCCGGUAGGUCCGUAUCAUAAUUUGGAACUUGGGCGUAUUCCCGAUAUUUAAUUCAGAAAUCCCUAACUUGUUAUGACUCAUUUUGCCGAAAACUAGCAUUUUUGAAAGUUGAAGAAUUUCUAAGUUUGACCGUAAGUUGACUUAUUAGCUAACGGGUUCGGAUUAUGAUAUUAAGACUUGGAAUAGUUCUGUAUUACUAUUUGAAAUUUGUUUGCAAAAUUUGGUUCAAUUCGGAAUUUAUUUGGCAUGAUUCGGACACUUAAACGUGAUUCUAGUAUUCUUGAGUUUCACUUUGAAAGUUCAUUCGUUUUGAGGAUUAAUGAUUCGUAGAUUUAGAUAUUAUUUUGGUGAUUUUAUUAUGCGAGCAAGUUCGUAUGAUGUUAUUAUACUUGUGUGCAUAUUUGGUUUGGAGCCCGAGGGGCUCGGGUGAAUUUCGAACGUGUUUCAGAUGAGUUUGGUUAAGGUUGGAAUAGUUGGUGCUGGUGCUUUGCUGCAGAUCUCGCAUUUGCGAGCAUGGGAUGGAUUGGGUGAACCUCGCAUUUGCAAGAUUUUUGUUCGCAUUUGCAAACUGUGGACCUUCGCAUUUGUGAAGAAAAUGGUCGUUAUUGCGAUCAUUGACUGCUGUUGACUGCUUCGCAUUUGCGAAGUUUAUGCUCGUAGUUGCGAAGGAUGGAAGCUCGCAUUUGUAAGCCAAAAUGUCGCAAUUGCGAUGGCUGCUCUUUUGAGACAGGGUUCACAUUUGUGACCCCUUUCUCGCAUUUGCGAAGUUCGCAAUUGCGACAUCCGCAGUUGGGUAAAAGAAGAGAAAAUGGGACUUAGCUCAUUUCUCACAUUUUCUCAACCCUAAACACUUUAGAGGCGAUUUUCCAAGAGAGUUUUCUUUCUAAAUUUAUUGGUAAGUGACUUUAAUCUAUUUUCAAUUACCCAUUACAUUUCAUGAGAUUUCGACAUCAAAUUUAGGAUUUUCACAGUAGAAAUUAGAGAUUUGAGUAGAAUUAAGAAUUUUUGUAAAAUUAGGAUUUUGACCUUGAAUUGAUGUCGGAUUUCGAAACAAAUUACAUAACCGGGCUCAGGGUGAAUGGGUAAUCGAGUUUUGGUUCGAAUCUUGAUUUUGACCAAGCGGGCCCGGGGUUGACGUUUGUUGACUUUUUCAAAAAAGAUCUAAAUUGAACCUCUUUCAUUUGUGGGUAAUUUCUAAAGCUUAUUUUGAAUCAUUUGGUCAAUAAAUUACUAGAUUUGGUUGGUUUUGAGGCUUGUUCAAAAGGCAAGGCUAUGAUUGAGUGAUUGCUUGAGCUGUGGAGCGAGGUAAGUGUUGGAUCUAACCUUGACUUGAGGGAAUUAGGGAUCCUUGAACUUCUUAUUAUGUGCAUUAUAGGAGAAACGGUAUAUAUACGAGGUGGCGAGUAUAUAUACGUCGUUGUAUUACUUGUUUCCAUGCUUUCGUUACUCCAUUGUAUAUCUUGUUACAUGUCUUAAUUGGUACACGCUUAUUUGACUUCCAUGCGAUAAUUGUUACUUGUCAUUUAGUUAUACUUGUAUUUAAUUGUCCAUCCCUUCCAUAAUUUCAUGCUUAAUUGCUAAACAUUCGGAAUUCUCUACCAGGUCUGAUUCUAACAUACGCACGUCAUAUCAAUCUCAACAUGUUGUACCAAAACAUGAUCAUGCACCCAUGCUGAAUUAACGCAAUGUACCGCAUAAUUCGAAUGCUCAUAAUAACAUCCUCCAAUCACAAUAGCUGCAAAUUCACGAAGCCGAUGCCCAUAAUAUACCUCAUAACGCAUAUAAGACCUGUUCCAACCCUCGCAAUACCACAAGAAUGAAAGAGAUGUGUAGAAACUCAUAACCACCUGCUAAAUCAAUAACUCCUGGAGUCUCUCCUCUUGGUGAGAACCAUUGCCUCAUACAAAACUAAUUAGUGACAUUUUUCCUCUAAUAUACAUUGUAUAAAUCUGAUUGCACUAAUUCCAGGUCCAACAACCUCGUCUCACCCAGUACAAGCUGCUCGGGCAAUAAACCACCUCAAACACCAUCUGAAAUCUCAUACGACGUCGUCAAUGCGUUAACAAGCCACAACUCGAAUAUGACCAAUAAGGAAUAACUAACCCGAAUACAAGAUUAUCCGUCCUGCGCAACGAAAAAAAAACAACCAAACCAAUGCUAUGAACCUAUCUCUGAGAUGAAAAAUAAAACACACAAAAUAAGUAUAAGGAACCAUACUCAAUAUCUCACUAUUGCGGUGUGUAUCCCGAUCUAAACAUCAUACUUGUGGUAGCGUGCCACCCGAUCCGCACAUAACAAUCAAUAAGGAAAUACCCAUCGAGCCAAAAUGCUCAUACCCACGAAAUGCUCGAAUAUCGACCCCAAGCAUGCCAAGUGCAUAAACACAACCCUAGGAAGACAGGUAGCGCCAUGCCCUUCAAAAUUCUAAGCACGACUAAGGUGCAAUAAACGACCUGCAUCUCGAGAGCCAUAUCGCUCAUAUAACACCACAAGAUACACAGGAUCACAACAUACGUAUGACUAAUCAAGCCGUCUCACAAAUCAUAUGGCAUAAAAGAGUAGAACCAGAAAUAGAUGAAGGCAGGAAUAUCAUCCACCACGCCCAAAGACCCAUUCAUAAGCGAUGAUAUGCCGAAUAAGCAUAUCUGAUCUGGUAUAAAAUAUACAUUCACAUUAGGCCUACCAACGCACCUCAAGCUGAUACCGAUCAUCCCAAAAUGGGCCAAUAAUCUUUCAAAGAUCCACAAUGACCCUAUUCAUGACACAUACGAUCUACCAUCCAAUAUGGAACAAAACAGUCCGCAACCAAAGAAAUAGAGUGCCUCUAAGACAUAUACUCUUCCAUCAUCGAUAAUACUAGAAUCUCCAUACCUGAUUUCAAUCUCUACCACAUAAAUGGUUGACAUGUCACGCUUAUACAAUCAUCUCGCGGGAGAUACUCCUAUGACCUUCCACACCAGGUAGCAAAAUCUGCACAUCCAUGGCUACCAACCAUACUAUUACUGUAAUGCAAAUCAACAAUCCAUAAAUCAAUACACAAUGCCUCUUAACAUAACACUAUUCACGGUGACACAAAAAUAACACCAAUAACUCUUUCGAGCUCGUGAUAGUCCUGUCAAAACUGGAUCGCAACCUUGAUCCUCAAAUUCCAAUUCCAUACCGUUCAUUGCACCUAUCAUGCUACUACGUGAGAGUACAAGCAUUUCAUCAUAACUCCUGAACCACUAGUAGAAUAAACACUUCAUAGGCUAGAACCUUUCACUCAACUCAUUUUAGAAGAAGAAUCGUAACACACAACAAUAUUCCCAUAGCCGCAAAAUACAUAGAACUCAAGUCGUGUUCUAAACCGCCAUAACUCUUCCGGGACCCAUUUAUACAUAAUCAAAACCAUCUGAAUCAAAUACCUCCAAAUCCAUCAAAUUACGGAGACUGUAAAGCCCGCACAUACAGCCACGAAACACAUGUAUUGCCUUACCACACUGAAGGAACCAAUCAUUUCCUUAAUCAUGUCGAUCCAAACCACUACUAGGCUGAUUCAGCUUCUUCCAAUUUCUUCUUGACUUGGCUUCAGAAUCAAUACCUCUAUUAAAUCACAUAACGGAUCCGAAUCAAUACUCAUAUCGAGUAACCCAAAUCAUGAGACCACGUCAUUUCAAUACCCAUAAGCCAUUUCAUACCCUGCUCAUGCAGCCUAUAGUUUCUCUAACUGAUACACCUGCGCUGAUUAGAUCUUCUGCAAAUCCGAAGCUGUUUCUCCUACUUUUUUAACACUGCACCGUAGACCCGUUGAUAAUAUAGAAAUGCUCUGAGUACCUUCACACUCUACUGCAAAAACCAAUCCUCAACCAGAUAAUGAACCUAAAAAUCCUUAAGCACCGCACCUAGAAUCUCGAAUCCACUAAAAUCAUUAUUGAGAGUCGCCCACUCUAGUCCAGCCCCGAUUAUAUAACCAAACCACUAGUGCUCCGUUAGCACAUGAGCACUCCAAUGAAGCAACUGGAUGAUUACUUUCCCUUGUAGAUCACAUCCAUCAAAUCCCCUGCUCAAAUUACCCUAAUGUUUUCCUCCCUUAGUAAUAACAAAUUCACCAACGUACAUGUCACACCCCUUUUUUUUUACCCCUCACUAGCUCCUCUUUAAACUAGAUAUAAAGUGUAAGGCUCAAAGGGUUUUCAAUUUGAAAGUGAUAUAAUUCGUGUUUCAAAGGAUUUUCGGAGUCGCUACCUGACAUAUGGCUUCGGUGUGCCAGGUCACCAUUUUUUUAAAAAAAAUAAUUCUUCCUUUCAAAACACAUUUAAACUCCAAAACUAGUUUGCACCAGAGACUCUAAGUAGGGGGGUUUAUUUGACUCGGGGAGAUGGUGUUAGGUAUUCCCCUAGUCCCGUAACUAGUAUGGUUGCAUACUUGAUCUAAUUGGCUUUUAAGAAUAUUCUAAUUGAGGUAAAACAAACAAAAGCAAAAUAAACACACAAAAGACUCGAGGUUGUUCCCACUUAAAUAAAAGAAAAAAAGAAUAAAAUAAGAAGAAAAGACUAAAAGUCUACACUAUGCACAUUCCAUAAUGUUCGUCACCGCCUCCAAUUACAUUCACUACGGGGCAUUCCCUGGAAAAAAUAUAUACAAAAUAUGCGGGGCAUUCCUCUGAAUAUAAACUAAAGGGAACGACUUCUUACCUCAAACAAAAUAAAAGAAAAGACCUAAAGAUUGCCUACCAAAGUGUAGCCGGCCUAAACAUGCUCCUAGCAGUCAGAGUAAUAAAAUAAAUAAAAGAAACUAAGUAAAAAAAUUCAUGGCAGGCUCAUUUUAACUUCUUUAGCGUCCCAAACCCCCUCGCCCCCUUUCACACGAAGAAGCAUAUAAACAAUGGCGGAUAGGAACGAAAACAAAGAAGAACAGAAAGAAAUAUUUCAUCAAAUAAGCACUCAAAAGAACCAAAUGAAACAGGAUGACACCGUAGUUUAAUUUUAAUUUAGCACGUUAGGACAAUUAAAUGGCACUCAAGCACACUGAAGCAUUAAACAAGAUAACAAAGAAACAUUCAAUAAGAACAAGUCCUUGUUUAAACCAAAAUCAACUAAAGAAAUAUGUAUUUCAAUGCAUACGAUCCAAAGUUAACAAGAAAAUUCAAAUGAACUAUAGAAACACUUUUAUCAAAAUACAAUAAAAAUAACUCAUUGAACCACUAAAGAGUAAUUUCUAUAAGUAGGAAUGGCAUGCUGAAAAUUUGUUUUCUUAUUAUCCAAUCUACUGCUAAUCUAGAAAGAUACUUUAACCUUUAAGAACGAGAGAUUGGCAGCAAACAUGGCUCAAACAAUUAAAAAAAUAUAUGCUUCAAAACACUUGUUUACAUGGAAAAUUUAGGUAGCAACUCAUAGAUCUUCAAAUAAUAAAUAGAUGAUUUCAUUCCUUUAAAAACCCAAGAAAUUGCAGAGAAAUCAUUAAAAUUUUAUUCACCUAUUUAAGCUGAAAACUAAACAUGAUGUUUGUCAACUACAAUACUUUUAGCACUCAACUUUCAGAUUUAACACAAAAGAUAUACAGCUACAAGUUCAAACAUGUAUUAACUCACUUCAAAUGCUAAACAAUUAUCCAAAAGAGAUUAAGGAAGAAACAGGUAGCCACAAUCACGUAAACUAACAAAUUAAUAAACACUAGCUCUCACUAUUGAUUCAACUCAUCUUUUAAUUACUUUUUAAAAUUAAAUAAAUAGGGGAUAAAGUAAUGAACCUGUUGAAGCCAAACUUUUCCUUAAUCAGAGUAGAAGAAUCCGUGGAUACAAAAAUCUUUGAUUACAAAAUCUAAGAGAGAAUCAGCAUAAAAAUUUAACCAGAAUCACGAACAUGAACCUUACGACCGGGCCUCGAACUCACAAACUGCGACCUGGGUACCCCAUCUUUGAAAUUAGAAACCAAAAGAAAAGUUGGAAUAUAUUUUCAUAUAUCUUUUCGAAAUUCGGAUCCUACUCACUUAAAAACAGAAAUCUUUUUUUUUUGUAUGAUUUUUCUGGAAUUCAAGAAGAAAAAAUCAGAGAAGAGAUUCAAGAGAAAUGAUAUUUUCUUUUUUAAUUAAAACCCCCUUCCAUCUCCCUCUUUUCCCGAAAUUUAUGUAUGAAAAAUCUCUCUUCCCAAAAAUCCUCUCUCCCCCUCAAAGUGUCUUUCCCGAAAAUUCUCCCUUCCCCUCAAAGUGUUGUCCUCACUCACUCCCUCUCUCUCGUGCUCUGUCCCCCUUGUUCUAUUCUAUAAAGUUGGUACUUAUCUAUGUGUGCAGCCCAUGAAGUGUAUCUUGGGCCCAAAGAAAU
This 7450-nucleotide long non-coding RNA is filed under the name Nicotiana tabacum (common tobacco). Its description in RNAcentral is "long non-coding RNA (NTAB_LNC008600)". The record is from RNAcentral. Lineage: Eukaryota; Viridiplantae; Streptophyta; Magnoliopsida; Solanales; Solanaceae.